AGUAAAAGUCGUAACAAGGUCUCCGUUGGUGAACCAGCGGAGGGAUCAUUGCUGGAACGCGCCCCAGGCGCACCCAGGAACCCUUUGUGAACUUAUACCUUACUGUUGCCUCGGCGCAUGCUGGCCCCCUCGGGGUCCCUCGGAGACGAGGAGCAGGCACGCCGGCGGCCAAGUUAACUCUUGUUUUUACACUGAAACUCUGAGAAAAAACACAAAUGAAUCAAAACUUUCAACAACGGAUCUCUUGGUUCUGGCAUCGAUGAAGAACGCAGCGAAAUGCGAUAAGUAAUGUGAAUUGCAGAAUUCAGUGAAUCAUCGAAUCUUUGAACGCACAUUGCGCCCUCUGGUAUUCCGGAGGGCAUGCCUGUUCGAGCGUCAUUUCAACCCUCAAGCAUUGCUUGGUGUUGGGGCACUGCUUCUUACCCAAGAAGCAGGCCCUGAAAUCUAGUGGCGAGCUCGCCAGGACCCCGAGCGCAGUAGUUAAACCCUCGCUCUGGAAGGCCCUGGCGGUGCCCUGCCGUUAAACCCCCAACUUCUGAAAAUUUGACCUCGGAUCAGGUAGGAAUACCCGCUGAACUUAAGCAUAUCAAUAAGCGGAGGAAAAGAAACCAACAGGAUUGCCCCAGUAACG
Molecule: ribosomal RNA, 631 nt
Filed under: uncultured fungus
Lineage: Eukaryota; Fungi
Description: eukaryotic LSU rRNA
Rfam family: 5.8S ribosomal RNA (bases 225-378)
Source: RNAcentral